This 333-nucleotide ribosomal RNA is filed under the name Siphonaria sp. UF 301336. RNAcentral describes it as "partial 12S ribosomal RNA". Lineage: Eukaryota; Metazoa; Mollusca; Gastropoda; Siphonariida; Siphonariidae. The record is from RNAcentral.
AAAGAGCUCAAAAUAACGCCUAAGGAGUAAGACUUUAAAGUGAAAACUUAAAGAACAUGGCGGCUUAAAUAACUCAGGGGAACUUACUUCAUAAAUGAUAACCCUCAAGUCAAUCUACCUUCCCUAAUAGCUUAUAUACCGCCGUCUAGUGUCUAAUUGAGUUAGGCCCGCAAAAAAGCGCUUCUUAAGUCAGGUUAUGGUGUAGCCAAUGGUAAGGAGCUUAGCGAGUUACAAUAAACUUUUUUUUCGGUUUACUUUUAGUAUAAAAGUUUUAAGAUGGACUUGAAAGUAAAAAGCAAUAGAAAUAAAUUUUGAAUUUAAAGUUUUAAGUGU